CCACCGAGAUCUACACUCUUUCCCUACACGACGCUCUUCCGAUCUGAGGAGUCUAACAUGCCCGCGAGUUCAACAUUGCAGAUGCUGGGCGCGCGAAAGCGGAAAGUAUUUCCCUACUAGCGGAGCGCGUAUGUUAGGUCCCGAAAAAUGGCGAACUAUUUCUGCUCAGGCUGAAGUCAUUGGAAACUUUGAUGGAAGGUCUCAACGGUUUUGACGUGCAAAUCGAUCGUGUGAAGCAGGUAUAGGGGCGAAAGACCAAUCGAGCCAUUUAGUUGCUGGUUCUCUCUGAAGUUUCCCUCAGGAUAGCGGUCCCUACAGAAUAAUGUGCGGUAAAGAGAAUGAUUAGAGGUAUCUGGGAAAGCUUUUCCUAGGCCGAUUUUCAAACUCAGAAUGCGCAUCAAUGAUUUCUCCAUGAAUUGUUGAAUUAUCUUAGGGAUCAGUGGGCCUUUUUUGGUAAGCAGAUCGGGCGAUGAGGGUUCCUCCUAGAGUCGAGAUAACGUGCUCAAAGCUACAUCAAUUAAAUGAUGUCAGUGCAUACUGACAGCAGGAGGGUGGCCAUGGAAGUUGGAAUCCACUAAGGAGUGUGUUACAACUCACCUGCCGAAUGUACUGGCUCAGAAAAUUGAUAGCUAACCCGUAGCAACUAAUUCUCGACGCUAAGUAAGAGAGCGUAGUGGUCGGAUAGAAUCCAGAGCGUGAGCCUUGGUCGACCGGCCACCAUUGCAGAUCUCGGUGGUAGUAGCACUUGCUAAAAUGGAACCUUUUAGGACCACUUGGACGAAGGUUCCACGACAACAGCCAAUGUUCGUGGGUAAGUCGGCCUUAAUCGCGCAGUCGAGAAAAGCAACCAGGUUAAUAUUCCUGGACAACACAGGAAAACGGCAACGUUUGCGCGGGUAUUUGUUAGGUGUUGGAAGGAGGGGGACUUUCGUCCCUCUUAACAGCUGUACGCCUCUGGAACUGUGUGAAACAGAGAUAGAGGCAGACACUGGAAUAAGUACCUCUUGCGGGUACUCCUGAGCCAGCACUUGACCUCUGAAAAAUACCCGCGUUCUGUGGUGUAGCCGUACCAAUAGCCGCAUCAGGUCUCCGAGACGCAAAGUCUUCGGUUCAAUGGAUGAAUGUAAGCAAGGGAAGUCGACAAGUUCGAUCCGUAACUUCGGGAAAAGGAUUGGCUUCGUGGACUUAGUGAGGAAUGUCUGUCCUAGCGAGGAAUGUGACUCUACCGAGUUGCUCCUACGCUGGGCACAGCAACCUCACUAGCAAUACAUGAAACUGACGCGCAAACGAGGAAUCUGACUGUUUAAUCGAAACGUAGCAUCAUGCAGCGUGGUGUGGACAUGAUGUGAUUUCUGCUCAGUGCUUUGAAAGUUAAAGUUGAGCAACCGACAGAAGCGCAGGUCAACAGCGGGAGUAACUAUGACUCUCUUAAGGUAGCGAAAUGCCUCGUCAUCUAAUUAGUGACGUGCAUGAAUGGAUUAACGAGAUUCCUACUGUCCCUAUCUACUAUCUAGCGAACCCACAGCCAAGGGAACGGGCUUGGAAGA
Molecule: ribosomal RNA, 1547 nt
Filed under: seawater metagenome
Description: eukaryotic LSU rRNA
Rfam family: Eukaryotic large subunit ribosomal RNA
Source: RNAcentral